UACAGGGGGGGCAAGCGUUGUUCGGAAUUACUGGGCGUAAAGCGCACGUAGGCGGACAUUUAAGUCAGGGGUGAAAUCCCAGAGCUCAACUCUGGAACUGCCUUUGAUACUGGGUGUCUUGAGUAUGGAAGAGGUGAGUGGAAUUCCGAGUGUAGAGGUGAAAUUCGUAGAUAUUCGGAGGAACACCAGUGGCGAAGGCGGCUCACUGGUCCAUUACUGACGCUGAGGUGCGAAAGCGUGGGGAGCAAACAGG
RNAcentral lists this ribosomal RNA (253 nucleotides) under uncultured bacterium. Its description in RNAcentral is "partial 16S ribosomal RNA". It matches the Rfam family "Bacterial small subunit ribosomal RNA", at positions 524 to 776 of the family's 1533-position model. The record is from RNAcentral.